GUGGGGAAUAUUGGGCAAUGGGCGAAAGCCUGACCCAGCAACGCCGCGUGAAGGAAGAAGGUCUUCGGAUCGUAAACUUCUAUCCUUGGUGAAGAUAAUGACGGUAGCCGAGAAGGAAGCCCCGGCUAACUACGUGCCAGCAGCCGCGGUAAUACGUAGGGGGCGAGCGUUGUCCGGAAUGACUGGGCGUAAAGGGCGCGUAGACGGCUGUCUAAGUCUGGAGUGAAAGUCCUGUUUUCAAGGCGGGAAUUGCUUUGGAGACUGGAUGGCUUGAGUGCGGAAGAGGUAAGUGGAAUUCCCAGUGUAGCGGUGAAAUGCGUAGAGAUUGGGAGGAACACCAGUGGCGAAGGCGGCUUGCUGGACAGUAACUGACGUUGAGGCUCGAAAGCGUGGGGAGCAAACAGGAUUAGAAACCCUUGUAGUCC
RNAcentral lists this ribosomal RNA (425 nucleotides) under uncultured bacterium. Its description in RNAcentral is "partial 16S ribosomal RNA". It matches the Rfam family "Bacterial small subunit ribosomal RNA", at positions 354 to 796 of the family's 1533-position model. The record is from RNAcentral.